This is a long non-coding RNA of Orbicella faveolata, 1005 nucleotides long. Lineage: Eukaryota; Metazoa; Cnidaria; Anthozoa; Scleractinia; Merulinidae. The record is from RefSeq and is a predicted model, not a curated record.
UUUCGCUGUUUCCACGCGCUGGCCUUAACCUUCGAGUGUGUAAACGGAAGGAUAUUUGACUUUUAAUUUUAACUUCUUGUAGAGAGAGGAGAGGUCGCCAUAUUGUUUAUAAACUCACAUAAGGCAAACAAGAAUCAAACAACAACAUGGGACUACUAAGAUCAAUGGAGGAGUCAGAUACAGCUAGAUCAGGUCAGUUUAUAUUUCUGGUAUCUGCAAUGUUGUUUGCAAGUGCACCUGCACAUGUAUAUGUUAAUACUCUUUUGGCAGUUGAACCUCCCAUAAGCGACCACCCAAAAUGUCAAUCCUAGGUAAUCGCUCACGGGGGGUUGUUGUUUAAGAGAACUAAGAUCAUAUUGGGUCACAAUUUUUCCUCCUUAGCAUAAGGUGACUGCAGAGACUUCCCCAUCUUUUAAGUCUUUUAAAUGUUUAAUUCAUGUGAAAAGUCGAUUUCAAGAAAGAACCCAGUACUUCCCCACUGAGAAAUGUCUGUCUCUUGUACUACCCAGGAAUGCAAUAAUGUUACAAUACCUAAUUUUUCACUUUCUGCUCGAUUAUCUGUUGAGUAGUCACUUACAGGAGGUUAAAAACAAAAGAAAACUUUAAACUUUUAGCUCUAAAAGUGGCCGAGGCCACUUUCAAGAGGUGGUCGCUUACAAGAGGUUCCAAGUAUUAUAGUAGUUUGACUUGGAAACUCUUUGUAUUUUGGAAAACUGGUUGCUUAGAAGAGGGUGUCAAUGGGGUUUAGCCCUAGACAGUAAACAGCUAAGAGUAAGCCAUUUAGUCAGUAAGUUGUUCGAAAUCAUGUUAGCCAGUAAACAGUAAAAAAGGAGAUUAGUCUGGCAGUUAAUUUGUAUGAUUUUAUGAUUUUUAUGAGCUUUGGAUGACCUUUGUUUGCAAAAUAAGUCAUGAUUUAAACAUAAUCAGCUUUUGAAUUAUUGAAAGUGGCGUAAUUUGGAGGCACGGUUGCCUCAUGGUUAGUGUGCUUGACUUUGGAUCGAGUGG